Molecule: long non-coding RNA, 2112 nt
Organism: Equus caballus (horse)
Lineage: Eukaryota; Metazoa; Chordata; Mammalia; Perissodactyla; Equidae
Source: Ensembl
CAAAAAACUGUGUCACCUGUUCCAUUAGCUUUUCUCCCUCUUUGUUCUUGGUGCUAUCUGAUGUAAUAAUUAUCUCAGAGGAAUGCAACAGAGAGAAGAAAGUCAACUUCAAAGCUCUCUUUCUGCCUAGACCUCAUGCAUAGCAGCAAGUUACAGCUGACUUCAUUACUCUCAAGAAUUCCUCAUGGGAGAAAUGAUCUUUACACACAACUUUGAUUUCCAUGGGACACAUACUGUGAUUUUUACUUGGAGAAUAACCAAAAUUGGAAACAAGAAGACAUAAGUAUGCAGAACAAUGGAAACUUUUCUUCUGGUUCCAAGGAAAAAAGGUGCAACUGCCUGUCUUGAUACCCCUAUAUUCCUGUGAAACCCACUUGUCCCCUGAGGUUACCUGAAGAUGAUGUAUCAGUCGGAAUGCCUUUGACAAGUUCCAGUGUCAGCUGUGUUGGCUUAAACAAAAAGUACUGCAUAAGCUUCCAUAAAAAGAAAUCUCGAGGCAGGCAGCCGGUGGCUGAAUCUUUCCAUGUUCUGAUAUACCAGUCAGUCUAAGGUUUAUCCGACCUCCACUCGCUCUGUGGUUGUAGGAUGGCUAUGAAAUGCCUGUAUCUUCAUUCACUUGACUCUUCAGAGCCCUUUAAUUCAUUUCCCCAACAAUUGCAAAUCUCAAUAUUUGCAUGUUAAUAAGAUCUGCUGAAGAAAAACAUUCCUAUCUGCUCUCAUUUUUUUGCAGCACAAAAUCAUGACAGUGACUGGGUUUCAUCAUUUUUUUGCUCACAAAUUUCUACACACGGAGGGGAGCAAUCAUCAGAUUUAUCUUAAGAAUAAUUUCAACUUUAUAAUACUUUCAGAAGCCAUAGAUACAAUCAAUUUUGAUUUUAAAUACUAUUUCUUUUCCUCAGUUUCACUUUAUUUUGUUUUCCUUUUAGCUAGUUCAAUGUCUAUAGUUUGUCAGUAAGAAAUGAACACAUUAAUAAGAGUAUUUAUAGGAAAUAUUCUUUAGGAAUCAUUUCUUAAAAAUAGUCCUAUAUUUUAAAGCACAAUUUAUUUUUAAUUGAAUAUCCAAUUCGCUUAUGUCAAAUAUAAAUAAUUGAUUCUUAUGGAAAUUACAAACAGAAAAAGAAAAAUCUCUCCAAUAACAUUACCAAAAAUUAAGGACUGUGAACAUGUGUUGCUUUCCAGAUUUUGUUUAAGAUUUCUGUUAUAAUCUUACCCACAUGUAAAUUGUAACAUAUCCAAUAUAUAGUUUGUCUUAUGAUAUGUUCUCUUAGCCUUAUGCACAAAAGAAUUUUCCCAUGCCACUAUUUUUAAAAACAGUACUAUGAUAUCCGUAAAAUAUUAAAAGAAUGGAUGUAGUAUUAAUUAUUUCCAUGCUUUUAUUUUUUAGAUUAUUUCUUAUCCUUUUAGUAUUAAAAUACCAUUUUUAUGUAGUGAUUAACUUCUUUGCAUCAAUUACUAUCCACAUUUUUUAUUAAUACUGUAUCUUUAAAUUUAUUUUUUUAAUGGAAUUACUGGUUGGAUAGCAUAUGAUUUCUUAAGUUUUAUCACACAAAUGAACAUAAUUGUUAAAAAAUAUAAUUAAAAAUUUUUUCUGGGCUAUUGAUAAUUUGCCCAGAAUAUAUAUAAAUGAUGAAUAAAUAUAAAUGAUAAAUAUAUAUAAAUAUAAAAUGAUUUCAUGCUAGUUUUCAUGUAUUUUUCAUUUUAUUGCAUCAGUUACAUAGUGAAUCCUAAGUCUUCUGUGACAGCAGCUACUGAAAACUGCAUAUUGCUUUAAAGUCUACAGAAUACAGUGUAGCUUUGAGCACUUCAAUAUUUCUUCACUUUUCAUCUGUAACAUGGAUGCAUAAUUUUGCAGUAUAAGCACAAAAAUUUUGCUUUGUUUUGUUUUGUUUUUGUAAGUAGAGGUUUACAUAAAACCGGUAAUCAUAAAAUCUCUUUAUCAUUUCGCAAAAAGAAAAAGCAACUCUAAUCAGCAAGUUUUAAAAUGGAAGGUUAACUCCAUGGAAAUCUACUUUGAUGUAAUAAAUUCCAUCUUGAUGAUUACAUCUUUAAUGUAUGAAAUUCAGAUGGAAAAAUCAAAGUAAAUUUUUUGGACAUCAUGGAAAGCUAUUUCUA